Setaria italica (foxtail millet) is the source of this 2108-nucleotide long non-coding RNA. RefSeq lists it as uncharacterized. The record is from RefSeq and is a predicted model, not a curated record. Lineage: Eukaryota; Viridiplantae; Streptophyta; Magnoliopsida; Poales; Poaceae. The transcript has 2 exons.
AGGAAAGCGAGGGAUUAAAGGGAAAAGAGCUUAGCUCCCUCGUCCCCCUCCCUCGAGGGAUCGAGAUCCGCCGCACUCCGUCCGGCCGUAUGGCUCCGGGCCCGGCGCCGCCCGGCAGUGGAUUGGCCAGAGCUCCCACAGGGCCCGGCAAUGGACUGGCUCCGCCACUGUCUGCACCUCUCCCCCCUUCUACACCAGGCUGAGCCACCUGCCCGCCCGCCUGGAGCUCCCCCAUCCGCAGCCGCCCGGAUCUUCCCCGCUGCGGCCGCUGCCCGGAGCUCGUUGACUGCAAUUCCCCAUCUGCGGCCGCCCGGAUCUCCCCCGCCACGGCAGCUUCAGAUUUCAGAACAGGACCGUCAGGAACAAAAAUCCCACCAUGCUCUUAUGCCAGCGCAGCCGCCGUCGCUAGCGGCCGCUGGCCGGCGGCGUACCCUCCGGUGCUAUAUCCGCUGCUCGAGCGUGCAUGAUCUGGAGAGGUCCACUGCCCCUCGCCCAGGCUCAUCGCUCCCGCCGCUGCGGGUGGCGAAGUGGGUGGUGCUGGUGCGGCACAGGCAGAGCUCUUGUGAUAUGUAGUAUUUGCUGAUAUCUUCCUAUACGUUUCAUAUUUGGGUGGUAAUUGUUGUUUCCUUCAUAAUGGUGAUGGAGUAAUGGUCUUUUCUGGCACUCAUCUUUGGGGAAUUGUCUAUGUUCUGAACAGUGAUCAAUUUCCUCUAGAGUUGCAUUACUCAUAGUCGGUUGAUUAUUUUCAGGUCUGGGAGCAACAUAUAUCUGAUCGAGCAGUAUAUAGAAGGAUCAUAGAAGCUUUCUAUCAACUUAUAAUAGCAGGAAGCUUUGCUCAACUCUAGGAUUGUAACUUGUGUUUUGUUUGUAGUGCAUUCUGCGGGGACAGUGUUCUUAGUUUCAGCCACAGCGGUGCAGAACAGUUGCCUGCUGAUGCCCAGUAGCACAGAUCUUGGCUCAAGUAGCAUUCUUGAGCUUAAAAUGAAGUUUAAGGCACUGUAUUUUACUGAUGAGAAUUUGCACUUCUGUAUGCAUACAAUUGUUUCAUCCUUAAUAUGUCUUUUGAGAAUUUGCACUUUUGUAUGCAUACAAUUGUUUCAUCCUUAACAUGUCUUUUGCUAUAUCGUUAACUCAUUCUUGUGUUUUGCUAAUAUGGUUCAACAUCCAUAGCAUUCAAGGUUCAGGUUUUAACUGCUGUAAAUAGUGUAUGGUUGUUUAAUCUAUUUUAGGGCAGGUAAAACCUUAACCAUUUGUCUGCCAAUAAACUUGAAGUCUAUGGCUUGUAGGCACAUCAGCCUAUUGAAGUAUUCUGUUCUAUGAUUUUCAGUGUCUUCAGAGUGAUUUUUUUAUUUGCAAGCUUGUUGUUUGAUGAAGCCACCAAUCUGGUUAACUACAUGCUUGAUUUGAGGGUGGAGAGAAGGCAUCCAUUGAGUCCCGUAGCAUGUGAGUUUGAGGAGUGUGGUGGACACAUGAAGCUAGCUGACACCCUUAAGGUUAUAUGUGACAUUUACGAAAAGUGUCCUGGGGAACAUACCUCUGCUGAACAGAGAAUGGUUAGGGAAAGCAGUAACUUUUGAUGUGAUGUUCCUUAUUACUAUGCAUACCUUUGCAGUGGAGAAUAUGGUAAAUUAUCCUGCUGAAAUUAUAUGGAGGGCCAAAUAACUGCACUUGACAAUUGCAUGAUGAUGAUGAACUCAUGAAUGAGUUAGGGAACUGGUGCUUGUGGAAAUGCCUGUGUGCGACGAGCUGGUGAUUCUGAUUUCCAGGGACUGCUAAAGAAUGAAGGGAAGGAGAGCUACGGUGUUUUGUACAAGCAGUGGCAGAAGAAUGCUGCCAAUUUCAGCAUUGACGAGCACUACCCAGUGCGGGAGCUAUGGGACCGUGCACGGAGCUGCUGGGAGAGGAUUCCAGCACACGAGGGCAAAUCGGUACUUGUAUCUGAAGGUCAUUGGCCUGGCUGGAAACAAGUUGGGAGAUGUGAUUCCUGGCUCCAUCGCAAACCUUUUGAUGAGUAUGGAGUACUUGAGCAUAAGUAGCAACAUACUACCAUAUUAUGAAGCGAAGGUAACAUAUUAUGAACAAACGUAUAAUAAUGUGAGAGUAAGUAA